UCCCUGGUGGCUCAGAUGGUUAAGCAUCUGCCUGCAAUGCAGGAAACCCGGGUUCGAUCUCUGGAUGAGGAA
Transfer RNA from Ovis aries (sheep), 72 nucleotides. It matches the Rfam family "tRNA". From Rfam's summary of the family: Transfer RNA (tRNA) molecules are approximately 80 nucleotides in length. Lineage: Eukaryota; Metazoa; Chordata; Mammalia; Artiodactyla; Bovidae. The record is from Rfam.